RNAcentral lists this unclassified non-coding RNA (253 nucleotides) under uncultured Halomonadaceae bacterium. RNAcentral describes it as "contains 16S-23S intergenic spacer region". It matches the Rfam family "Bacterial small subunit ribosomal RNA", at positions 524 to 776 of the family's 1533-position model. Lineage: Bacteria; Pseudomonadati; Pseudomonadota; Gammaproteobacteria; Oceanospirillales; Halomonadaceae. The record is from RNAcentral.
UACCGAGGGUGCAAGCGUUAAUCGGCAUUACUGGGCGUAAAGCGCGCGUAGGCGGCUUGAUAAGCCGGCGGUGAAAGCCCCGGGCUCAACCUGGGAACGGCAUCCGGAACUGUCAGGCUAGAGUGCAGGAGAGGAAGGUAGAAUUCCCGGUGUAGCGGUGAAAUGCGUAGAGAUCGGGAGGAAUACCAGUGGCGAAGGCGGCCUUCUGGACUGACACUGACGCUGAGGUGCGAAAGCGUGGGUAGCAAACAGG